This 253-nucleotide ribosomal RNA is filed under the name uncultured bacterium. Its description in RNAcentral is "partial 16S ribosomal RNA". It matches the Rfam family "Bacterial small subunit ribosomal RNA", at positions 524 to 776 of the family's 1533-position model. The record is from RNAcentral.
UACGAAGGGGGCUAGCGUUGCUCGGAAUUACUGGGCGUAAAGGGCGCGUAGGCGGAUGUUUAAGUCAGAGGUUAAAUCCCAGGGCUCAACCUUGGAACUGCCUUUGAUACUGGGCAUCUUGAGUACGGGAGAGGUGUGUGGAACUCCGAGUGUAGAGGUGAAAUUCGUAGAUAUUCGGAAGAACACCAGUGGCGAAGGCGACACACUGGCCCGUUACUGACGCUGGGGCGCGAAAGCGUGGGGAGCAAACAGG